CGCAAGAGAAGAAUGCCUUUCAGCAACAUGAGACAAGGACAGUAGGAAAGAAGAACUGAAGACUCUUCAGAUUAAUUUAAAGUCAUAAUAAGCUAUGAAACUAUUUCUAAGCAUAAUUUGCUGUUAAGCACUUACAAGAUACAAAGUGAUGGAUGAAUAGGAGAAUGUAUGUGAACAACCAGAACUAACAGACCCGGGACAGUGCAGCUGGGCUUGAGUUGUAAGGUCAGACAACUUUUCUUUGU
Molecule: long non-coding RNA, 245 nt
Filed under: Coturnix japonica (Japanese quail)
Lineage: Eukaryota; Metazoa; Chordata; Aves; Galliformes; Phasianidae
Description: lncRNA (ENSCJPG00005018909.1)
Source: RNAcentral